AUGAUCCUCUGUAACAGGUGGAGAGACUAUCUCCUGUGGGCAGCAGAUUCCUGGGGCUCAUUUUGCUGUUUUCAAAGUUCCUUUGUGAAAGAAAGUUCCGAAGUGACAAAUGUUCCAGAAGAAUGUUUUUUUUUCUCCUUUUGGAUCUUUAAAACUGUGAGGAAAAAAAAUGAAGAACUUGAAUCAGUUGUUGUUUGUCAUGCAUUGAGCACUGCUGGGAAGCAGAGUUCCCAGCUCCCAGUCUAGAUGUCUCAUACAAAUGGCACGUAUGUCCCUUUCGCUAAUCACUGAUAUCUGCAAACUUCAUUUGGGCUGUGGCAUGUGCCAGAACAUUCCAUUGCCUGUGUGAUCCAUAUUUCAUCUGUACUCUGGCCUCGCUGGUCUUCAUUCUGCUUCACUGUAAAGGAAUUUUGAGGUACCAUAGAAUUUAUUUUUUAAA
Molecule: long non-coding RNA, 439 nt
Filed under: Rattus norvegicus (Norway rat)
Lineage: Eukaryota; Metazoa; Chordata; Mammalia; Rodentia; Muridae
Description: long non-coding RNA NONRATT033132
Source: RNAcentral